CCUACGGUGGGCUGCAGUGAGGAAUAUUGGUCAAUGGACGGAAGUCUGAACCAGCCAUGCCGCGUGCAGGAAGACGGCUCUAUGAGUUGUAAACUGCUUUUGUACAAGGGUAAACCUGAAUACGUGUAUUCAGCUGAAAUUACUGUACGAAUAAGGAUCGGCUAACUCCGUGCCAGCAGCCGGGGGAAUACGGAGGAUCCAAGCGUUAUCCGGAUUUGUUGGGUUUAAGGGGUGCGUAGGUGGAUUGAUAAGUUAGAGGGGAAAUGCCCGAGCGUAAGGCGGGAAGUGCCUUUGAUACUGCUUAGCUAGAGAGCGGAUGCGGUAGGAGGAAUGUAUGGUGUAGCGGUGAAAUGCAUAGAGAUCACACAGAACACCGAUUGCGAAGGCAGCUUACCAAUCCAUAACUGACGCUGAGGCACGAAAGCGUGGGGAGCAAACAGGAUUAGAUACCCGUGUAGUC
RNAcentral lists this ribosomal RNA (460 nucleotides) under uncultured bacterium. RNAcentral describes it as "partial 16S ribosomal RNA". It matches the Rfam family "Bacterial small subunit ribosomal RNA", at positions 338 to 795 of the family's 1533-position model. The record is from RNAcentral.